AGUGAACGCUGGCGGUAGGCCUAACACAUGCAAGUCGAACAGCAGCACAGUAGGAGCUUGCUCUUACGGGUGGCGAGUGGCGGACGGGUGAGGAAUACAUCGGAAUCUACUUUUUCGUGGGGGAUAACGUAGGGAAACUUACGCUAAUACCGCAUACGACCUACGGGUGAAAGCAGGGGAUCUUCGGACCUUACGCGAUUGAAUGAGCCGAUGUCGGAUUAGCUAGUUGGCGGGGUAAAGGCCCACCAAGGCGACGAUCCGUAGCUGGUCUGAGAGGAUGAUCAGCCACACUGGAACUGAGACACGGUCCAGACUCCUACGGGAGGCAGCAGUGGGGAAUAUUGGACAAUGGGCGCAAGCCUGAUCCAGCCAUACCGCGUGGGUGAAGAAGGCCUUCGGGUUGUAAAGCCCUUUUGUUGGGAAAGAAAAGCAGCAGGUUAAUACCCCGCUGUUCUGACGGUACCCAAAGAAUAAGCACCGGCUAACUUCGUG
RNAcentral lists this ribosomal RNA (492 nucleotides) under uncultured bacterium. RNAcentral's name for it is "partial 16S ribosomal RNA". It matches the Rfam family "Bacterial small subunit ribosomal RNA", at positions 29 to 507 of the family's 1533-position model. The record is from RNAcentral.